RNAcentral lists this transfer RNA (67 nucleotides) under Corchorus capsularis. It matches the Rfam family "tRNA". From Rfam's summary of the family: Transfer RNA (tRNA) molecules are approximately 80 nucleotides in length. Their secondary structure includes four short double-helical elements and three loops (D, anti-codon, and T loops). Further hydrogen bonds mediate the characteristic L-shaped molecular structure. tRNAs have two regions of fundamental functional importance: the anti-codon, which is responsible for specific mRNA codon recognition, and the 3' end, to which the tRNAs corresponding amino acid is attached (by aminoacyl-tRNA synthetases). tRNAs cope with the degeneracy of the genetic code in two manners: having more than one tRNA (with a specific anti-codon) for a particular amino acid; and 'wobble' base-pairing, i.e. permitting non-standard base-pairing at the 3rd anti-codon position. The record is from Rfam by way of RNAcentral. Lineage: Eukaryota; Viridiplantae; Streptophyta; Magnoliopsida; Malvales; Malvaceae.
GCAUCCAUGGCUGAGUGUUAAGCACCCAACUCAUAAUUGGACGUAAUUCGUAGGUUCAAUUCCUACU